RNAcentral lists this ribosomal RNA (1083 nucleotides) under Lactiplantibacillus plantarum. RNAcentral's name for it is "bacterial SSU rRNA". It matches the Rfam family "Bacterial small subunit ribosomal RNA", at positions 35 to 1080 of the family's 1533-position model. Lineage: Bacteria; Bacillati; Bacillota; Bacilli; Lactobacillales; Lactobacillaceae. The record is from RNAcentral.
GCCAUGCGGCGUGCCUAUACAUGCAGUCGACGAACUCUGGUAUUGAUUGGUGCUUGCAUCAUGAUUUACAUUUGAGUGAGUGGCGAACUGGUGAGUAACACGUGGGAAACCUGCCCAGAAGCGGGGGAUAACACCUGGAAACAGAUGCUAAUACCGCAUAACAACUUGGACCGCAUGGUCCGAGCUUGAAAGAUGGCUUCGGCUAUCACUUUUGGAUGGUCCCGCGGCGUAUUAGCUAGAUGGUGGGGUAACGGCUCACCAUGGCAAUGAUACGUAGCCGACCUGAGAGGGUAAUCGGCCACAUUGGGACUGAGACACGGCCCAAACUCCUACGGGAGGCAGCAGUAGGGAAUCUUCCACAAUGGACGAAAGUCUGAUGGAGCAACGCCGCGUGAGUGAAGAAGGGUUUCGGCUCGUAAAACUCUGUUGUUAAAGAAGAACAUAUCUGAGAGUAACUGUUCAGGUAUUGACGGUAUUUAACCAGAAAGCCACGGCUAACUACGUGCCAGCAGCCGCGGUAAUACGUAGGUGGCAAGCGUUGUCCGGAUUUAUUGGGCGUAAAGCGAGCGCAGGCGGUUUUUUAAGUCUGAUGUGAAAGCCUUCGGCUCAACCGAAGAAGUGCAUCGGAAACUGGGAAACUUGAGUGCAGAAGAGGACAGUGGAACUCCAUGUGUAGCGGUGAAAUGCGUAGAUAUAUGGAAGAACACCAGUGGCGAAGGCGGCUGUCUGGUCUGUAACUGACGCUGAGGCUCGAAAGUAUGGGUAGCAAACAGGAUUAGAUACCCUGGUAGUCCAUACCGUAAACGAUGAAUGCUAAGUGUUGGAGGGUUUCCGCCCUUCAGUGCUGCAGCUAACGCAUUAAGCAUUCCGCCUGGGGAGUACGGCCGCAAGGCUGAAACUCAAAGGAAUUGACGGGGGCCCGCACAAGCGGUGGAGCAUGUGGUUUAAUUCGAAGCUACGCGAAGAACCGUUACCAGGUCUUGACAUACUAUGCAAAUCUAAGAGAUUAGACGUUUCCCUUUCGGGGACAUGGAUACAGGUGGUGCAUGGAUUGUCGUCAGCUCGUGUCGUGAGAUGUUGGGU